CGGCGGACGGGUGAGUAACACGUGGAUAACCUACCUAUAAGACUGGGAUAACUUCGGGAAACCGGAGCUAAUACCGGAUAAUAUAUUGAACCGCAUGGUUCAAUAGUGAAAGACGGUUUUGCUGUCACUUAUAGAUGGAUCCGCGCCGCAUUAGCUAGUUGGUAAGGUAACGGCUUACCAAGGCAACGAUGCGUAGCCGACCUGAGAGGGUGAUCGGCACACUGGAACUGAGACACGGUCCAG
RNAcentral lists this ribosomal RNA (243 nucleotides) under uncultured Staphylococcus sp. Its description in RNAcentral is "partial 16S ribosomal RNA". It matches the Rfam family "Bacterial small subunit ribosomal RNA", at positions 96 to 334 of the family's 1533-position model. The record is from RNAcentral. Lineage: Bacteria; Bacillati; Bacillota; Bacilli; Caryophanales; Staphylococcaceae.